UUUCUGGAAAGGCUGUAGCUCAGUGGCUGAGCAUCUGCUUUGCAUGCAGAAGGUGCCAGGCAGGGCUGGGAAAGAGUCCCUGUCUGAAAU
This is a non-coding RNA of Podarcis lilfordi (Lilford's wall lizard), 90 nucleotides long. Lineage: Eukaryota; Metazoa; Chordata; Lepidosauria; Squamata; Lacertidae. The record is from the annotation of a GenBank genome assembly.